ACGUAGGCAGCAAACGUUGUUCGGAGUUACUGGGCGUAAAACGUGCGCAGGCGGCUCUAUAAGACAGAUGUGAAAUCCCCGGGCUUAACCUGGGAAUGGCGUUUUGAACUGGCAGUCUAGAGUGCGUCAGAGGGGGGUGGAAUUCCACGUGUAGCAGUGAAAUGCGUAGAGAUGUGGAGGAACACCGAUGGCGAAGGCAGCCCCCUGGGAUGACACUGACGCUCAUGUACGAAAGCGUGGGUAGCAAACAG
RNAcentral lists this ribosomal RNA (251 nucleotides) under uncultured prokaryote. Its description in RNAcentral is "partial 16S ribosomal RNA". It matches the Rfam family "Bacterial small subunit ribosomal RNA", at positions 525 to 775 of the family's 1533-position model. The record is from RNAcentral.